This 96-nucleotide small RNA is filed under the name Halpernia humi. RNAcentral's name for it is "Chryseobacterium humi Flavo-1 RNA". It matches the Rfam family "Flavo-1 RNA". Lineage: Bacteria; Pseudomonadati; Bacteroidota; Flavobacteriia; Flavobacteriales; Weeksellaceae. The record is from RNAcentral.
UUUUAGCCGCGGCUGAAACGGCAUCCUUUUUUACAGAAAAUGCGCCACAAGGCGCAUUUUCUGUAAAAAAAGAUAUAGUGGAAGACGGGACUCCAU